GGAGAGAUGUCCGAGUGGCUUAAGGAGCACGAUUGGAAAUCGUGUGUGUGGACUAAAAUUCACACCGUGGGUUCAAAUCCCACUCUCUCCGCCA
RNAcentral lists this transfer RNA (94 nucleotides) under Deltaproteobacteria bacterium. RNAcentral describes it as "tRNA-Ser". It matches the Rfam family "tRNA". Rfam says of the family: Transfer RNA (tRNA) molecules are approximately 80 nucleotides in length. Lineage: Bacteria; Pseudomonadati; Myxococcota; Myxococcia. RNAcentral also lists the same sequence under 2 other names. The record is from RNAcentral.